GGCGGCGUGCUUAACACAUGCAAGUCGAACGGAAAGGCCCUGCUUUUGUGGGGUGCUCGAGUGGCGAACGGGUGAGUAACACGUGAGUAACCUGCCCUUGACUUUGGGAUAACUUCAGGAAACUGGGGCUAAUACCGGAUAGGAGCUCCUGCUGCAUGGUGGGGGUUGGAAAGUUUCGGCGGUUGGGGAUGGACUCGCGGCUUAUCAGCUUGUUGGUGGGGUAGUGGCUUACCAAGGCUUUGACGGGUAGCCGGCCUGAGAGGGUGACCGGCCACAUUGGGACUGAGAUACGGCCCAGACUCCUACGGGAGGCAGCAGUGGGGAAUAUUGCACAAUGGGCGGAAGCCUGAUGCAGCAACGCCGCGUGCGGGAUGACGGCCUUCGGGUUGUAAACCGCUUUCGCCUGUGACGAAGCGUGAGUGACGGUAAUGGGUAAAGAAGCACCGGCUAACUACGUGCCAGCAGCCGCGGUGAUACGUAGGGUGCGAGCGUUGUCCGGAUUUAUUGGGCGUAAAGGGCUCGUAGGUGGUUGAUCGCGUCGGAAGUGUAAUCUUGGGGCUUAACCCUGAGCGUGCUUUCGAUACGGGUUGACUUGAGGAAGGUAGGGGAGAAUGGAAUUCCUGGUGGAGCGGUGGAAUGCGCAGAUAUCAGGAGGAACACCAGUGGCGAAGGCGGUUCUCUGGGCCUUUCCUGACGCUGAGGAGCGAAAGCGUGGGGAGCGAACAGGCUUAGAUACCCUGGUAGUCCACGCUGUAAACGGUGGGUACUAGGUGUGGGGUCCAUUCCACGGGUUCCGUGCCGUAGCUAACGCUUUAAGUACCCCGCCUGGGGAGUACGGCCGCAAGGCUAAAACUCAAAGGAAUUGACGGGGCCCCGCACAAGCGGCGGAGCAUGCGGAUUAAUUCGAUGCAACGCGUAGAACCUUACCUGGGUUUGACAUGGAUCGGGAGUGCUCAGAGAUGGGUGUGCCUCUUUUGGGGUCGGUUCACAGGUGGUGCAUGGCUGUCGUCAGCUCGUGUCGUGAGAUGUUGGGUUAAGUCCCGCAACGAGCGCAACCCUUGUUCACUGUUGCCAGCACGUUAUGGUGGGGACUCAGUGGAGACCGCCGGGGUCAACUCGGAGGAAGGUGGGGAUGACGUCAAGUCAUCAUGCCCCUUAUGUCCAGGGCUUCACGCAUGCUACAAUGGCUGGUACAGAGAGUGGCGAGCCUGUGAGGGUGAGCGAAUCUCGGAAAGCCGGUCUCAGUUCGGAUUGGGGUCUGCAACUCGACCUCAUGAAGUCGGAGUCGCUAGUAAUCGCAGAUCAGCAACGCUGCGGUGAAUACGUUCCCGGGGCUUGUACACACCGCCCGUCAAGUCAUGAAAGUUGGUAACACCCGAAGCCGGUGGCCUAACCGUUGUGGGGGAGCCGUCGAAGGUGGGACUGGUGAUUAGGAC
This 1436-nucleotide ribosomal RNA is filed under the name uncultured organism. Its description in RNAcentral is "partial small subunit ribosomal RNA". It matches the Rfam family "Bacterial small subunit ribosomal RNA". The record is from RNAcentral.